RNAcentral lists this ribosomal RNA (253 nucleotides) under uncultured bacterium. RNAcentral describes it as "partial 16S ribosomal RNA". It matches the Rfam family "Bacterial small subunit ribosomal RNA", at positions 524 to 776 of the family's 1533-position model. The record is from RNAcentral.
UACGUAGGGCGCAAGCGUUGUCCGGAAUUAUUGGGCGUAAAGAGCUCGUAGGCGGUCUGUUACGUCUGCUGUGAAAACCCGGGGCUUAACCCUGGGCUUGCAGUGGAUACGGGCAGACUAGAGGCAGGUAGGGGAGAAUGGAAUUCCCGGUGUAGCGGUGAAAUGCGCAGAUAUCGGGAGGAACACCGGUGGCGAAGGCGGUUCUCUGGGCAAUUCCUGACGCUGAGGCGCGAAAGCGUGGGGAGCAAACGGG